This 1066-nucleotide ribosomal RNA is filed under the name Vibrio sp. 7517M. RNAcentral describes it as "bacterial SSU rRNA". It matches the Rfam family "Bacterial small subunit ribosomal RNA", at positions 386 to 1446 of the family's 1533-position model. Lineage: Bacteria; Pseudomonadati; Pseudomonadota; Gammaproteobacteria; Vibrionales; Vibrionaceae. The record is from RNAcentral.
AUGCGCCAUGCCGCGUGUAUGAAGAAGGCCUUCGGGUUGUAAAGUACUUUCAGUUGUGAGGAAGGGGGUGUCGUUAAUAGCGGCAUCUCUUGACGUUAGCAACAGAAGAAGCACCGGCUAACUCCGUGCCAGCAGCCGCGGUAAUACGGAGGGUGCGAGCGUUAAUCGGAAUUACUGGGCGUAAAGCGCAUGCAGGUGGUUCAUUAAGUCAGAUGUGAAAGCCCGGGGCUCAACCUCGGAACUGCAUUUGAAACUGGUGAACUAGAGUACUGUAGAGGGGGGUAGAAUUUCAGGUGUAGCGGUGAAAUGCGUAGAGAUCUGAAGGAAUACCAGUGGCGAAGGCGGCCCCCUGGACAGAUACUGACACUCAGAUGCGAAAGCGUGGGGAGCAAACAGGAUUAGAUACCCUGGUAGUCCACGCCGUAAACGAUGUCUACUUGGAGGUUGUGGCCUUGAGCCGUGGCUUUCGGAGCUAACGCGUUAAGUAGACCGCCUGGGGAGUACGGUCGCAAGAUUAAAACUCAAAUGAAUUGACGGGGGCCCGCACAAGCGGUGGAGCAUGUGGUUUAAUUCGAUGCAACGCGAAGAACCUUACCUACUCUUGACAUCCAGAGAAGCCAGCGGAGACGCAGGUGUGCCUUCGGGAGCUCUGAGACAGGUGCUGCAUGGCUGUCGUCAGCUCGUGUUGUGAAAUGUUGGGUUAAGUCCCGCAACGAGCGCAACCCUUAUCCUUGUUUGCCAGCGAGUAAUGUCGGGAACUCCAGGGAGACUGCCGGUGAUAAACCGGAGGAAGGUGGGGACGACGUCAAGUCAUCAUGGCCCUUACGAGUAGGGCUACACACGUGCUACAAUGGCGCAUACAGAGGGCAGCGAACUUGCGAGAGUGAGCGAAUCCCAAAAAGUGCGUCGUAGUCCGGAUUGGAGUCUGCAACUCGACUCCAUGAAGUCGGAAUCGCUAGUAAUCGUAGAUCAGAAUGCUACGGUGAAUACGUUCCCGGGCCUUGUACCCACCGCCCGUCACACCAUGGGAGUGGGCUGCAAAAAAAUGGGUAGUUUAACCUUCGGG